AUUCUUGGUCAUUUAGAGGAAGUAAAAGUCGUAACAAGGUUUCCGUAGGUGAACCUGCGGAAGGAUCAUUAUUGAAAUAAACGUGAUGGGUUGUUGCUGGUUCUCUAGGGAGCAUGUGCACGCCUUGUCAUCUUUAUAUCUCCACCUGUGCACUUUUUGUAGACCUUUCAGGUCUAUGUUGCUUCAUUUACUCCAAUGUAUGUUAAUAGAAUGUUGUGCCUAUAUAAUAUAUACAACUUUCAGCAACGGAUCUCUUGGCUCUCGCAUCGAUGAAGAACGCAGCGAAAUGCGAUAAGUAAUGUGAAUUGCAGAAUUCAGUGAAUCAUCGAAUCUUUGAACGCACCUUGCGCUCCUUGGUAUUCCGAGGAGCAUGCCUGUUUGAGUGUCAUUAAUAUAUAUAUCAAACUUCUCUCUGUUGAGUUGUUUGGAUGUGGGGGGUUUUUUGCUGGGCCUCUUAAAAGGUUCAGCUCUCCUGAAAUGCAUUAGCAGAACAACUCUGUUCAUUGGUGUGAUAACUAUCUACGCUAUUGAAUGUAAGGGGCAGUUCAGCUUUCUAACAGUCCUUGGACAAUUCAUCAUUAAUGUGACCUCAAAUCAGGUAGGACUACCCGCUGAACUUAAGCAUAUCAAUAAGCGGAGGAAAAGAAACUAACAAGGAUUCCCCUAGUAACUGCGAGUGAAGCGGGAAAAGCUCAAACUUAAAAUCUGGCAGUCUUUUGGCUGUCCGAGUUGUAAUCUAGAGAAGUGUUAUCCGCGCUGGACCGUGUACAAGUCUCCUGGAAUGGAGCAUCAUAGAGGGUGAGAAUCCCGUCUUUGACAUGGACUGCCAGGGCUUUGUGAUGCGCUUUCAAAGAGUCGAGUUGUUUGGGAAUGCAGCUCAAAAUGGGUGGUAAAUUCCAUCUAAAGCUAAAUAUUGGCGAGAGACCGAUAGCGAACAAGUACCGUGAGGGAAAGAUGAAAAGAAUCUCUAGAG
Molecule: ribosomal RNA, 973 nt
Filed under: uncultured Cortinarius
Lineage: Eukaryota; Fungi; Basidiomycota; Agaricomycetes; Agaricales; Cortinariaceae
Description: eukaryotic LSU rRNA
Rfam family: Eukaryotic large subunit ribosomal RNA (bases 585-973)
Source: RNAcentral